CCCUACGGGGCGCAGCAGUGGGGAAUAUUGCACAAUGGGGGAAACCCUGAUGCAGCGACGCCGCGUGAGUGAAGAAGUAAUUCGUUAUGUAAAGCUCUAUCAGCAGGGAAGAAAAUGACGGUACCUGAGUAAGAAGCCCCGGCUAACUACGUGCCAGCAGCCGCGGUAAUACGUAGGGGGCAAGCGUUAUCCGGAUUUACUGGGUGUAAAGGGAGCGUAGACGGCAGUGCAAGUCUGGAGUGAAAGGC
Molecule: ribosomal RNA, 248 nt
Filed under: uncultured bacterium
Lineage: Bacteria
Description: partial 16S ribosomal RNA
Rfam family: Bacterial small subunit ribosomal RNA
Source: RNAcentral